This 778-nucleotide ribosomal RNA is filed under the name uncultured bacterium. RNAcentral describes it as "bacterial SSU rRNA". It matches the Rfam family "Bacterial small subunit ribosomal RNA", at positions 22 to 796 of the family's 1533-position model. The record is from RNAcentral.
GCUCAGAUUGAACGCUGGCGGCAGGCCUAACACAUGCAAGUCGAGCGGUAGAGAGAAGCUUGCUUCUCUUGAGAGCGGCGGACGGGUGAGUAAUGCCUAGGGAUCUGCCUGGUAGUGGGGGAUAACGUUCGGAAACGGACGCUAAUACCGCAUACGUCCUACGGGAGAAAGCAGGGGACCUUCGGGCCUUGCGCUAUCAGAUGAGCCUAGGUCGGAUUAGCUAGUUGGUGAGGUAAUGGCUCACCAAGGCGACGAUCCGUAACUGGUCUGAGAGGAUGAUCAGUCACACUGGAACUGAGACACGGUCCAGACUCCUACGGGAGGCAGCAGUGGGGAAUAUUGGACAAUGGGCGAAAGCCUGAUCCAGCCAUGCCGCGUGUGUGAAGAAGGUCUUCGGAUUGUAAGCACUUUAAGUUGGGAGGAAGGGUUGUAGAUUAAUACUCUGCAAUUUUGACGUUACCGACAGAAUAAGCACCGGCUAACUCUGUGCCAGGAGCCGCGGUAAUACAGAGGGUGCAAGCGUUAAUCGGAAUCACUGGGCGUAAAGCGCGCGUAGGUGGUUUGUUAAGUUGGAUGUGAAAUCCCCGGGCUCAACCUGGGAACUGCAUUCAAAACUGACUGACUAGAGUAUGGUAGAGGGUGGUGGAAUUUCCUGUGUAGCGGUGAAAUGCGUAGAUAUAGGAAGGAACACCAGUGGCGAAGGCGACCACCUGGACUAAUACUGACACUGAGGUGCGAAAGCGUGGGGAGCAAACAGGAUUAGAUACCCUGGUAGUCC